UACGGAGGAUGCAAGCGUUAUCCGGAAUGAUUGGGCGUAAAGCGUCCGCAGGUGGCAAUGUAAGUCUGCUGUUAAAGAGUGAGGCUCAACCUCAUAAGAGCAGUGGAAACUACAUAGCUAGAGUGCGUUCGGGGCAAAGGGAAUUCCUGGUGUAGCGGUGAAAUGCGUAGAGAUCAGGAAGAACACCGGUGGCGAAGGCGGGUCUCUGGGCCGAUACUGACGCUGAGGAGCGAAAGCGUGGGGAGCGAACAGG
This 253-nucleotide ribosomal RNA is filed under the name uncultured bacterium. RNAcentral describes it as "partial 16S ribosomal RNA". It matches the Rfam family "Bacterial small subunit ribosomal RNA", at positions 524 to 776 of the family's 1533-position model. The record is from RNAcentral.